This 29-nucleotide non-coding RNA is filed under the name Macaca fascicularis (crab-eating macaque). RNAcentral also lists the same sequence under 1 other name. The record is from RNAcentral. Lineage: Eukaryota; Metazoa; Chordata; Mammalia; Primates; Cercopithecidae.
AGGUAAGCUUCUUGUCCUGACUGCUGAAA